UCGUAACACGAACCGGUGCUAAAGGGUCCUGCCCAACAGCUACUGACAGGUGCUGUCGGGGCAGGGACCCUUUAGCACCGGUCCGUGUUACCAA
Sorghum bicolor (sorghum) is the source of this 94-nucleotide microRNA precursor. It matches the Rfam family "MIR5387 microRNA precursor family". The record is from Rfam. Lineage: Eukaryota; Viridiplantae; Streptophyta; Magnoliopsida; Poales; Poaceae.